RNAcentral lists this ribosomal RNA (342 nucleotides) under uncultured Glomeromycotina. RNAcentral describes it as "eukaryotic LSU rRNA". The record is from RNAcentral. Lineage: Eukaryota; Fungi; Glomeromycota.
AUCAGCCUUUUCGGGUGCGAUUCUGUGGGGUUUGAGGAGCUUAACACCUUCAUGCUUUGCAUAUUCGUGCUCUUGGGUGUACUUGCCCGUGUGGUUGGUUAACAUCAAUUUCGGGCACCAAAAAAUGGCUGGAGGAAUGUAGCUUCGAUCUUGUAUUGAAGUGUUAUAGCCUUCGGUAGAUGUGGUGAUCGAGAUUGAGGAUUGCAACGGAUACCUUUCGGGGCUACCUGUCUGAUCUCUGAUCGUUGCUUUGGUGCUGAAAGCGUGCUUAUAGUUAUCAAAGUCGAUGGUCAAUAGGUUAGAACGGGUUAAAUUCGUUAAGGAUGUUGACGUAAUGGCUUU